GGGUGUCACAGAGCCUGCCGCUCUGUCAGACUCACCUUUGUCUUCUCUGUGAGAAGGACCAGGCUCCUGAUUUUUGGCUGAUUUUUCAGUCAAGCCCAGAUGGAAAAUUCUAGAAAGGGAGGAGGCUUCAUUUGGAUUUUUAAUUUCUGCUGCAAUCUCAGAAUCCUGGGUCCCUUUUGGGACCUAAGCCCCAUCUCCUGGCAGGAUUUUCUAUCACCGGAAUACAGUAGAUUUUCCCUCCUUUUUUUUUUUUUUCCCCAGCACCUUAACUCUCAGCUUCCCAGACUUUCUCCAAUGACAGAGCUGGGUGGGUGGAGGAGGAGAGGGGUUGCAAGAAAGCUUGCCGGCUGGGGUGAGGAGACUGUGUGUGGAGCAGGCGUGAGCGUGGGCCGCGUGGGAAAGAAUGCGAGGCUGCCGUCAAGCCCAGCGUCCACACGAGGAGGCCUGCGAUGGCGUCUGAGGGAGCAAGGUAAAGGUGAGGGCCGGAGCUCAAGAGGAAGCCUCAGCGAGGACCAGGAACCGGGACACACCUCAGCCAUCCUGUGAGGGGCAGCCCAGUGGAGACUUCCAGCCGCCCUGGAGGUCCUUGCACCCAAGACACUUCACCUACCCCAGGGAGAGAAGCAGAAAGGCACUUCGCCACUGUCUCCAUCAGUGCUGUUGAACUCAAAUACUGCCAUGGGUGGAGGCCAGCAGGGCAGCGUGUCCCUAGCAAGACAGCGACUGGGCAACGCACCUGUGCCAAACCCUGCCAGAAGCCCAGCACGUCCAAGGUGAUCCUGAGGGCUGUGGCGGACAAGGGGACCUGCAAGUAUGUGUCCCUGGCCACCCUGAAGAAGGCUGUUUCCACCACGGGCUACGACAUGGCCCGAAAUGCCUAUCACUUCAAGCGUGUGCUCAAGGGGCUGGUGGACAAGGGCUCAGCAGGUGACCGGCAGGGGGGCCUCAGGCUCCUUCACCCUGGGCAAGAAGCAGGCCUCCAAGUCCAAGCUCAAGGUCAAGAGGCAACGACAGCAGAGGUGGCGCUCUGGGCAGCGCCCCUUUGGACAGCACAGGUCACUACUGGGCUCCAAACAGGGGCACAAGCGGCUUAUCAAGGGGGUUCGAAGGGUGGCCAAGUGCCACUGCAAUUAAUGAGGCAGGCCAGGCAAGCAGUCAGGGGUGCCAAGACCGCCAUUGGCUCAGUGCAGUGGGAAUAAAAGGAACAUAACUUAUUUCA
This 1219-nucleotide long non-coding RNA is filed under the name Homo sapiens (human). Its description in RNAcentral is "non-protein coding lnc-COL1A1-6:1". Lineage: Eukaryota; Metazoa; Chordata; Mammalia; Primates; Hominidae. The record is from RNAcentral.